CCCACUUCCUCCUUCAUCUCCUCAAUCCUCCCGCUGCCUCGGGCACAGGGGAGCAGGGUGGCGGCAGGAUGCCCAGCAUCUUCGCCUACCAGAGCUCUGAGGUGGACUGGUGUGAGGGCAACUUCCAGCACUCGGCGCUGGUGGCUGAGUUCUACAACACGUUCAGCAAUGUCACCUUCUUCAUCUUCGGGCCCCUCAUGAUGUUCCUGAUGCACCCCUACGCCCAGAAGCGCACACGCUUCACCUACGUCACCUGCAUGCUCUUCAUGGUCAUAGGCAUGUUUUCCAUGUACUUCCACAUGACGCUCAGCUUCCUGGGGCAGCUGCUGGACGAGAUCUCCAUCCUUUGGUUUCUGGCCAGUGGUUACAGCAUCUGGUUGCCUCGCUGCUACUUCCCUGCCUUUGUAAACAGAAGCAGAAAUCAGUUCACCAGCUUCGUCUUCAUCACCACCGUGGUCAGCACCUUCUUGACCUUCCUGAAACCUACCGUCAAUGCCUACGCCCUCAACUGCAUUGGCCUUCACAUCCUCUACAUUGUGUUCAAGGAAUAUAAGAAGACCAGCAACAAGGACAUUCAGCACGUGAUCAAGGUCUCUGUUGUCUUUUGGUUGCUUGCUAUAACUAGCUGGAUCAGUGACCGUGUCCUCUGCAGCUUCUGGCAACGGAUCCACUUUCCCUACCUGCACAGCAUCUGGCAUGUCCUCAUCAGCUUCACCUUCCCCUACAUCAUGGUCACCAUGGCCAUGGUGGACGCAAGGUACGAGAUGACCAAGGAGACGGUCAGGCUGCGCUACUGGCCCCGGGACAGCUGGCCCGUGGGGCUGCCCUACGUGGAGCUGGGCGAGGACGCCAAGGACUGCUGAGGUCGACCAGCACCCCUGUGCCAGCUGGCGAGAGCCCCCCCCCCUCCAGCUCCCUCCCUGCUUCCUGUCCUGCAUGGCCCCGGCUCCGUCUCCGAGGCAGGGGAUGGACGAAGGUGCCUCUCUGUGCUCUGCUUCCAAUGACCCUGCAGUGGCUGCCUCCAUCCCCUGCCCUUGACCUCCCUCCACGACGACGUCUCUGUAGUCACAUGUGUUGGGGUUGGGCUGUGGUCAUGUGACAUCUACUG
This is an RNA transcript of Erinaceus europaeus (western European hedgehog), 1108 nucleotides long. It is a transcript of the gene named alkaline ceramidase 1-like, with no coding region annotated. The transcript is spliced from 7 exons. The record is from RefSeq and is a predicted model, not a curated record. Lineage: Eukaryota; Metazoa; Chordata; Mammalia; Eulipotyphla; Erinaceidae.